GAGAAGACUACAUAGUAGCACUCCCUAGUUAGAUGCACCAGAUAUAACCUCGGCAGGACAUAUCCCAUGGCGCGAGGAGUGGCUGCUCUGCUAUAUUUUGGAAGGCUGUUAUUUAUAUAUUGAGCUUCUAUCUGAUAUGUGAUGCCAUUAGUGUGUCUAGACUCUAGAGAAAAUUCAGGGUCUCCCUCUGUUGUCCACAAUCCAUAUGGGUUGGUGCGAUGUUAUUUAGAUUCAUUGCCAUCUCAUUUUCUUCGCUGUUCUUUAUGGUACCUAUCUCAUCCUCCAGAACUUUGUUUUCAUCAAUCAGCUGCUUUUCCUUGUCAUGAAGAUUCUUAAUUGAUUCAAUCAACAAGUGUGUCUUUCUAAAUCUGGUUUGUGUCAGAGCAGUCUCAACUUGGUUUUCCAGAUGGACAAGAUCAGUAAUGCUGAGAUCAUCAACAUCAGGCUCCUCGAGUUGCUUUUCUGCCGUCUGUAGCAGUUCUUCCAUUGUCAUGAAACUUGCAUAUUUUGAUUCCUCGGUGUCAUCGACUUCUGCAGAGGCCUUAUCUUCUGCUUUCAUGUGGUUGUUAUAUCGGUGAAUAACUCCUGUCAGACUGUUGGUACUGGAGAAUUCAAAGAGGCGUCCGCGACUGGAGAAGACGAGGACGGCGACAUCAACAUCGCAGAGAACAGAGAGCUGUUUAGCUUUCUUCAUGAGUCCAUUUCUCCGUUUGG
This 714-nucleotide unclassified non-coding RNA is filed under the name Hevea brasiliensis (rubber tree). Lineage: Eukaryota; Viridiplantae; Streptophyta; Magnoliopsida; Malpighiales; Euphorbiaceae. The record is from RNAcentral.